UAAGGAAUAUUGGUCAGUGGACGCAAGUCUGAACCAGCCAUGCCGCGUGAAGGAUGAAGGUCCUCUGGAUUGUAAACUUCUUUUAUCUGGGACGAAAACGGGAUUUUUAUCUCAAUUGACGGUACCAGAGGAAUAAGCACCGGCUAACUCCGUGCCAGCAGCCGCGGUAAUACGGAGGGUGCGAGCGUUAUCCGGAUUUACUGGGUGUAAAGGGCGCGCAGGCGGGAUAAAAAGUCAGUGGUGAAAUCCUACAGCUUAACUGUAGAACUGCCUUUGAUACUUUUAUUCUUGAGUUCGGGAGAGAGAGGCGGAAUUCCAGGUGUAGUGGUGAAAUACGUAGAUAUCUGGAAGAACACCAGUUGCGAAGGCGGUCUCUUGGUCCGACACUGACGCUGAGGCGCGAAAGCGUGGGGAGCAAACA
Molecule: ribosomal RNA, 421 nt
Filed under: uncultured bacterium
Lineage: Bacteria
Description: bacterial SSU rRNA
Rfam family: Bacterial small subunit ribosomal RNA
Source: RNAcentral